RNAcentral lists this ribosomal RNA (385 nucleotides) under uncultured bacterium. RNAcentral's name for it is "bacterial SSU rRNA". It matches the Rfam family "Bacterial small subunit ribosomal RNA", at positions 29 to 416 of the family's 1533-position model. The record is from RNAcentral.
AUUGAACGCUGGCGGCAUGCCUUACACAUGCAAGUCGAACGGCAGCACGGGGGCAACCCUGGUGGCGAGUGGCGAACGGGUGAGUAAUACAUCGGAACGUGCCCAGUAGUGGGGGAUAGCUCGGCGAAAGCCGGAUUAAUACCGCAUACGACCUACGGGUGAAAGCGGGGGAUCGCAAGACCUCGCGCUAUCGGAGCGGCCGAUGUCAGAUUAGGUUGUUGGUGGGGUAAAGGCCACCAAGCCUGCGAUCUGUAGCUGGUCUGAGAGGACGACCAGCCACACUGGGACUGAGACACGGCCCAGACUCCUACGGGAGGCAGCAGUGGGGAAUUUUGGACAAUGGGCGAAAGCCUGAUCCAGCCAUGCCGCGUGCGGGAAGAAGGCC